AACUUCCGUUAAUUGAUCAGGACGUGCUUGCACUGAAUGAGAUUUUAAUAUGAAGUGAGUGGCGGACGGGUGAGUAACACGUGGGUAACCUGCCCAGAAGCAGGGGAUAACACCUGGAAACAGAUGCUAAUACCGUAUAACAGAGAAAACCGCCUGGUUUUCUUUUAAAAGAUGGCUCUGCUAUCACUUCUGGAUGGACCCGCGGCGCAUUAGCUAGUUGGUGAGGUAACGGCUCACCAAGGCGAUGAUGCGUAGCCGACCUGAGAGGGUAAUCGGCCACAUUGGGACUGAGACACGGCCCAGACUCCUACGGGAGGCAGCAGUAGGGAAUCUUCCACAAUGGACGCAAGUCUGAUGGAGCAACGCCGCGUGAGUGAAGAAGGGUUUCGGCUCGUAAAGCUCUGUUGUUAAAGAAGAACGUGGGUGAGAGUAACUGUUCACCCAGUGACGGUAUUUAACCAGAAAGCCACGGCUAACUACGUGCCAGCAGCCGCGGUAAUACGUAGGUGGCAAGCGUUAUCCGGAUUUAUUGGGCGUAAAGCGAGCGCAGGCGGUCUUUUAAGUCUAAUGUGAAAGUUCGGCUCAACCGAAGAAGUGCAUUGGAAACUGGGAGACUUGAGUGCAGAAGAGGACAGUGGAACUCCAUGUGUAGCGGUGAAAUGCGUAGAUAUAUGGAAGAACACCAGUGGCGAAGGCGGCUGUCUGGUCUGUAACUGACGCUGAGGCUCGAAAGCAUGGGUAGCGAACAGGAUUAGAUACCCUGGUAGUCCAUGCCGUAAACGAUGAUUACUAAGUGUUGGAGGGUUUCCGCCCUUCAGUGCUGCAGCUAACGCAUUAAGUAAUCCGCCUGGGGAGUACGACCGCAAGGUUGAAACUCAAAAAAAUUGACGGGGGCCCGCACAAGCGGUGGAGCAUGUGGUUUAAUUCGAAGCUACGCGAAGAACCUUACCAGGUCUUGACAUCUUCUGCCAACCUAAGAGAUUAGGCGUUCCCUUCGGGGACAGAAUGACAGGUGGUGCAUGGUUGUCGUCAGCUCGUGUCGUGAGAUGUUGGGUUAAGUCCCGCAACGAGCGCAACCCUUAUUACUAGUUGCCAGCAUUCAGUUGGGCACUCUAGUGAGACUGCCGGUGACAAACCGGAGGAAGGUGGGGACGACGUCAAAUCAUCAUGCCCCUUAUGACCUGGGCUACACACGUGCUACAAUGGAUGGUACAACGAGUUGCGAAACCGCGAGGUUUAGCUAAUCUCUUAAAACCAUUCUCAGUUCGGACUGUAGGCUGCAACUCGCCUACACGAAGUCGGAAUCGCUAGUAAUCGCGGAUCAGCAUGCCGCGGUGAAUACGUUCCCGGGCCUUGUACACACCGCCCGUCACACCAUGAGAGUUUGUAACACCCAAAGCCGGUGGGGUAACCUUUUAGGAGCUAGC
This 1427-nucleotide ribosomal RNA is filed under the name Pediococcus acidilactici. Its description in RNAcentral is "bacterial SSU rRNA". It matches the Rfam family "Bacterial small subunit ribosomal RNA". RNAcentral also lists the same sequence under 1 other name. The record is from RNAcentral. Lineage: Bacteria; Bacillati; Bacillota; Bacilli; Lactobacillales; Lactobacillaceae.